This is a long non-coding RNA of Daphnia pulicaria, 574 nucleotides long. RefSeq lists it as uncharacterized. The record is from RefSeq and is a predicted model, not a curated record. NCBI's taxonomy places the organism in Eukaryota, Metazoa, Arthropoda, Branchiopoda, Diplostraca, Daphniidae. The transcript has 3 exons.
CUAGUCAAUUCGCGCCGAUCGUUAUAGUGUGUAAUAUGGCCGCUUGGGGGUAAGUUUGUGCAACUAUUACGACAUUGUGAAAACUGGAAUUUUGCAUUUCGAAACGCCAUGGCCAAUAGCACCUACCGUAUCAAAUCAAAUCAAAUGCAUUUCGAAAUUGCUCAAAGUUAACGAUAAGCGAUAGCUAUUGAAGUCGAUUCCGGGAAGUUUGACUGUUCUAGUCUCGCACUUCAAGGAACACAUCAAACAAGAAGGAUUGCGAACAGUGGCUAACCUGUCAGGAGACAACAUGUCUGCCCAGUUUGUAGAGGCGGGCAUGCUUAGGUUCCACUCCGAGUGCAAAGAGAUCACCGAUACUGUUUUCAGUAAUGAUCAGCUAUUUAGCAGUGCUCUAGAUGAGGCCUGUGCUGCAGUCGCCACCCAUCGCCCUAAUUAUUAACCCUAAUUAUUAAACAACCUUGAAGAUUCUUCGCCACAUCGACUUAAUUCAGGAGGUGUUGAGCCAGAUCUAAACCCGAUUCGCUCCUUCUAUUAGCUUGAUAAAAACGUGCAUUGCGACACUGAUUGAAAAGGA